GAUGAACGCUGGCGGCGUGCCUAACACAUGCAAGUCGAGCGAACAGACGAGAGUGCUUGCACUCUCUGACGUUAGCGGCGGACGGGUGAGUAACACGUGGGUAACCUACCUAUAAGACUGGGAUAACUUCGGGAAACCGGAGCUAAUACCGGAUAAUAUUUAGCUUCGCAUGAAGCAAUAGUGAAAGACGGUUCUACUGUCACUUAUAGAUGGACCCGCGGUGUAUUAGCUAGUUGGUGAGGUAACGGCUCACCAAGGCAACGAUACAUAGCCGACCUGAGAGGGUGAUCGGCCACACUGGGACUGAGACACGGCCCAGACUCCUACGGGAGGCAGCAGUAGGGAAUCUUCCGCAAUGGACGAAAGUCUGACGGAGCAAUGCCGCGUGAGUGAAGAAGGUUUUCGGAUCGUAAAACUCUGUUGUAAGGGAAGAACAAGUACGUUAGUAACUGAACGUACCUUGACGGUACCUUACCAGAAAGCCACGGCUAACUACGUG
RNAcentral lists this ribosomal RNA (499 nucleotides) under uncultured bacterium. Its description in RNAcentral is "partial 16S ribosomal RNA". It matches the Rfam family "Bacterial small subunit ribosomal RNA", at positions 28 to 507 of the family's 1533-position model. The record is from RNAcentral.